ACGGGUGUAGCUCAGUUGUAGAGCGCCUACUUGCGUAGGAGGUCGCGGGUUCGAAACCUGUCACCCGAGCCA
This 72-nucleotide transfer RNA is filed under the name Candidatus Uhrbacteria bacterium CG10_big_fil_rev_8_21_14_0_10_48_11. RNAcentral's name for it is "tRNA-OTHER". It matches the Rfam family "tRNA". Rfam says of the family: Transfer RNA (tRNA) molecules are approximately 80 nucleotides in length. Their secondary structure includes four short double-helical elements and three loops (D, anti-codon, and T loops). Lineage: Bacteria; Candidatus Uhriibacteriota. The record is from RNAcentral.